AGUGAACGCUGGCGGUAGGCCUAACACAUGCAAGUCGAACGGCAGCACAGUAAGAGCUUGCUCUUACGGGUGGCGAGUGGCGGACGGGUGAGGAAUACAUCGGAAUCUACUUUUUCGUGGGGGAUAACGUAGGGAAACUUACGCUAAUACCGCAUACGACCUACGGGUGAAAGCAGGGGAUCUUCGGACCUUGCGCGAUUGAAUGAGCCGAUGUCGGAUUAGCUAGUUGGCGGGGUAAAGGCCCACCAAGGCGACGAUCCGUAGCUGGUCUGAGAGGAUGAUCGGCCACACUGGAGCUGGGACACGGACCAGACUCCUGCGGGAGGCAGCAGUGGGGAAUAUUGGACAAUGGUCGCAAGCCUGGUCCAGCCAUACCGCGUGUGUGAAGGAGGCCUUCGGGUUGUAAAGCCCUUUUGUUGGGAAAGAAAAGCAGCAGGUUAAUACCCCGCUGUUCUGACGGUACCCAAAGAAUAAGCACCGGCUAACUUCGUG
Molecule: ribosomal RNA, 492 nt
Filed under: uncultured bacterium
Lineage: Bacteria
Description: partial 16S ribosomal RNA
Rfam family: Bacterial small subunit ribosomal RNA
Source: RNAcentral